RNAcentral lists this ribosomal RNA (433 nucleotides) under uncultured bacterium. Its description in RNAcentral is "partial 16S ribosomal RNA". It matches the Rfam family "Bacterial small subunit ribosomal RNA", at positions 29 to 507 of the family's 1533-position model. The record is from RNAcentral.
AACUAACGCUGGCGGCAUGCCUAACACAUGCAAGUCGAACGAGACCUUCGGGUCUAGUGGCGCACGGGUGCGUAACGCGUGGGAACCUGCCCUUAGGUUCGGAAUAACUCCCCGAAAGGGGUGCUAAUACCGGAUAAUGUCUUCGGACCAAAGAUUUAUCGCCUUUGGAUGGGCCCGCGUUGGAUUAGCUAGUUGGUAGGGUAAAAGCCUACCAAGGCGACGAUCCAUAGCUGGUCUGAGAGGAUGAUCAGCCACACUGGGACUGAGACACGGCCCAGACUCCUACGGGAAGCAGCAGUGGGGAAUAUUGGACAAUGGGCGAAAGCCUGAUCCAGCAAUGCCGCGUGAGUGAUGAAGGCCUUAGGGUUGUAAAGCUCUUUUACCCGGGAUGAUAAUGACAGUACCGGGAGAAUAAGCUCCGGCUAACUCCGUG